Molecule: long non-coding RNA, 5052 nt
Organism: Ahaetulla prasina
Lineage: Eukaryota; Metazoa; Chordata; Lepidosauria; Squamata; Colubridae
Exons: 3
Source: RefSeq, a predicted model, not a curated record
GGUCACUGUAAUGAAGGAGAGAAGUCAACAAAAGAAGCACAGAGCUGUACAGUCACCCUCCCAUUGUUUUCAGUUUUUGGCUAGCACAAUCUCAGAAAAUUAUCAGGAAACAAGAACAGCUUUUUAAAAAAUAAAUAAAUAAAGAUUCUUAUUUAAUUGAAUGGUGAGCCUUAUAUGUGUCAUGUGUCCUAAACUCAAAUUUUGUUCUACGUGUCUUCAUAGACAUCUUUUAUACUUCAUUGGCUGAUAUUUUUCUGUAGUUAUAUUGCUGCAAGUAAUCUAUUAAGGUUUAGAUUCAAGAUUCUCCCAGUUGUUAUUCUGAAGACAUAACCAAAAGCUUCAAGGCACUCCUCUUUUUGAAAGAGUAAAUCUCAAGUGCUUGAAAAUUCAACAUGGAUUAGAACUUGGCAGAAGAGACUGACCUCUUGUUUAUAUGACCCCUGUAAAAGACUGAUGUGUGAGUUUCACAAGAGUGUACAUAAUCCACACAGAAGUAUUGCUGAAAAAUUAUUGUGCUCUUCCUGUAACGUGGGGAAAACCACCAGUGAUUCAUAGGAAUGUCUGACCCCAGGAAUCAGAAUUCUGUACAGACUUGAAAUUAUAAGUGCAAAAUAUGUGCUUUUGCUUGAUUUUUUAAAUAAACCUUUCACUACUAGGUGUUUUAUAUUUUUCUAAAAUGUAGUUAAAUGUAGUGUAGUGAAAUAAAUAGUUAUACCAUGGUCUGGGAAGGGAAAGGAAAAAGAAAAUGUGUUGUUCCCAGCCCAAAUAAUUUUCCAGGUUAACUUGGUUGAGAGCCAUUUUAUCUUCUGCUGGAUUUGGCUUGAUGUGUUUUCAGGCAAUACUUUCUUCUCCCUUCACCUAGCCUACAGUUAAGUCUCUGUAGAAAGCUUUUUUGUUGUUGCUGUUGUUGUUAAAUAAGUUAAAAUACCAAGGAAAUAGUGGAAAAGAUUCCUGUAAUUUAUAUGUUCGCCUGGUGAUGGUUUUCUGUCUGCUCUUUAAUUUCUUUCACUUUGUGAAGUUUUGAGAACAAGCAGCCAGUUUUGGUUCCAGGCAAAUCAUCUUUAUUUUGGAAGUCUUCCAAUGGAGAAAAAUUGAGUUUUUCCUCUUUUUCCUUUCAUUGCCUUUUUGGAGGGAAGAAAAAAAAGUUGUAACUUAGAAAAUAUACUACAUGAACUAAACAAAAGCGAUUUAAGUAUUUCAUGACUCGGGCAAAUAAAACCAUCUUAAAAAAGAAAAACACCUCUCUGAAUAGCUAAUUGCACAAUCUUAAAAUCAAGAAGCUUCAUUUUGAUCAACUCUGAAGAGCAAGUUUAUACCUGCCAGUGAUGUAAUUGGGGCAGGGUUGGGUUGAUUUUUUUUUUUCCUUUAUGCAAUUCACAUAGGUGUGAGUUGAAUUGAGAUGGGAUAGGUGAGUUGAAUUGAGAACUUGGGAGACAAAAGUGAAAGGAGAAUUUGAAAAAGAAACAUUUAGAAUAAAAUUAGAAUUUUCAAUAUUAUGAAGAGCACACAACAUAAUACAAGACAUGAAAAUAAUUCGUAAAAUACAGAGCAGCCCAAAUGAAGAAUGAGAAGACAGAUGAAUUGGAAAUUUCUUCUAGGCCCUACUGCAGUAAUCUAGUCAUGGCAAAUUCUUGGAACAGCACUGAGUAGAAAAACUCAUUUAUUUCCAAGAGUGAAAUUUCUUGGACUACAAGAAAGCUUUGGAUUGCAAAUUGGAUUUUUAUAAUGAGAUUUAUGACUAUUUAUCCUUUGGAUUAAAGAAAAGUAGAAAAAUUCUACUUUAAAAAUAUGUGAUUAAAUGUUUUCUUGAAAAGUAUGGAAAAAGCUAGGAUACUGAAUUUAAAUAAAUUAUUAUGUGAUGACAACUUUAAGGAUAUGCUAACUUCAAACUUAAUUUGGGAAUUUUUGGAGGUGGCAUCUGUACUGGCACUGGGGCUGAAGAAGAGGCCCAGAGCUUUCAGCAUUUUUGGCCAGUUGAAUCCUCAGAUCUCUACUUCAGCCCACUGCUGCUACCAUCUCAAGCUCCCUACAUUGCAGUCAGCCACCCCAGUGGGAGAAAUGUCAUGCAGUUUGGAGAAAGGCAGGUGCAAGAUUUUGAAAGGUCUCAGAAGCCUUCUGAAGCAUUAGUGAAAGGACAUGUGCAAUUUGAAGAAUGUUACAUCUUGCCUGUGGAAGAAGGCCUAGUGCUUUCAGCAAUUGCCAAUAAUAUGGCCCAGGCUGAGCUUGCCUCAUCAGUAGUAGGGAAAAGGAUAGCAAAGGUCAGCUGGGUGUGGCAGGACUGGUAGAGUACAAAGUGACCGAGGCAGCUGGGUCUUUGCAUCUGGCUUUGGAACAGCUGGCUGCCACAUGAGACUUGAGGCAAUACUCCUUGGCAGAGGACCUUUGUCGGGGGCAUUGCUGCUCAGGUAGAGGCCCAGGGCAGCAGUGCUUGGCUGAGACUACUGAAGGCCCAAGGCCUUUACUUCCAUCUCAAUAUUGAAGUGCAUAAGUAAUCAUUCACUUAUGACCACAGUUGUGACCAGUAUUUCCUUCACUAAACAAUGUGUUUGUUAAGUGAGUCAUGCUUGGUUUUACUACCUUUCGGCUAUAUCGGUGAUGGCUAUCCUUUUUGCCAUCAUGUGCCAAAAGCAGGGGUCGCACGGGUGUGUGUUGCACACGUGCAUGCCCACAUCAUGUGCCGAAAGCAGGGGUCGCAGGGAUGUGUGUUGCGCGCGUGCAUGCCCACACCCAUAACUCAAUGCGCCCCAUACAUGCACAUAUGCCUCUUCGUGCUCGCACUGCUUUUGGCAUGUGAUGGCAUGGUGGCCCCAGUAGACCAAUUUUUCACUCUCCCCAAGCUGCAGAGGUUUUCUAGGAGAUUGGGGAGGACGAAAAUGGCCUUCCCCCCUCCCCGGAGGCCCUCUGGAGGUUGGAAAUGGCCCAUUUCCCGACUUCCGGUGGGACCAGAAGGCCUGUUUUUUUGCCCUCCCCAAGCUCCAGAGGGUUUCAAGAACCUAGGGAAGGUGAAAAUGGCCUUCCCCAUCCCCCAGAGGCUCUCCAGAGGCAGGAAACAACCCAUUUCCUAACUUCCAGUGGGUCCAGAGGCCUGAAAAUUAGCUGGCUGGCAUGCGCUAGAGCUGAGCUAGGGCAACACUUGCAUGCCCACAGAUAUGGCUACAUGUGCCAGGUUCGCUAUCAUAGGGCUAUAUCAUUAAGUAAACCAGGGUUCCUCCAUUAACUUUGCUUGUCCAAAGCCUCCAUUUAUUUAGUGACCAUCUGAAAUUAUGACAGCACUGAAUAAAGCUGAGAUGACUGAGCCUUGGACUCUCCAGUUACAUGAUAAAAAUGGUGUCACAAAUAGUAAUCAUGUGACCCAGUAUUCUGCAACCAUUGUAAAUAUAUUCCAGUUGCCCAGUGCCCAAAUUUUGAUCAUGUACAGUAUCUCACAGAAGUGAGUACACCCCCUCACAUAUUGUAAAUAUUUACUGUAAUUUACUUUUCAUAUGACAACAUUGAAUAACACUUGGCUACAAUGUAAAGUAGUGAGUAUGCAGUGUAAAUGUGUGGCCCCCUCAAAAUAACGCAACACAAAACCAUUAAUGUCUAAACUGCUGGCAACAAAAGUGAGUACACUCCUAAGUGAUAAUGUCCAAAUAAAGUCCAAAGUAUCAAUCUUUUGUGUGGUCAUUUACACUGUUAUACAAGCUGUAUACUCACUACUUUACAUUGUAGCCAAGUGUCAUUUCUUCAGUGUUGUCAUAUGAAAAGAUAUACUUAAAUACCUAAGUUUGGGGUGCACAAUGUGUUUUGCAGGCCUGCAGAGUGCUCCUGGGGGCUGAGGAAGACAAAAAUGCCCUUGUUUUUGGCCUCCCAACACCCACCCCCUGCGUCACAUUUUUGUCCUCUCCGGCCCCCAGGAGCACUCUGCAGGCCUUCCAAACACUCAGCGCUCUGUUUUUGCAAAAACUGGGCCCAUUUUUGGUCUCCCAAACCCCCACGUGUCGCGUUUUUGCUUUCCCCAGCCCUAGGAGCACUAUGCAAGCCCCAUUUUUGAGAAAAAAGGGCCUGUUUUGAUGAAAACAGGAUGCAUGAGGCGGGGUUUCAGGAGGCCAAAAAUGGCUGCAUUCGGUAUAUAAAAUGCACCAACAUUUCCACCCUCUUUUGGGGGGGGAGUGUGUCUUAUACUCUGAAAAGUACGGUAUUUAUAAAAUGUGAGGUGAUGUACUCACUUCUGUGACAUAUUGCAACUGUGGAGAGUGCAACGCUUGGUCAUGUCAUCUUUUUUCAGUGCUGUCAUCAUUUCAAAUAGUCACUAAAUAAACAGUCAUAAGUUAACAACUAUCUUUCACUAAGCCUUAUAAAUUUCCAAGAACUAGAUUACAAUUAUACAUUAGAAGCUGCCUCAGGGUUGUAAAUAUCUUCAUUAAAAGCUUAAUGUCUACUAUUAACUGAAGAGAUGGAUGCCGGAGAAGCUGAAAAAUGUACUACAUUUUUCUAAAUACAAUGUAUUAUUGUAUUGUAAUAUUGUAUUUUAAAUGUACUAUUACUAUAAAUAAAUUUUCCUGAAAAAUGUACUAUGGUAAUCUCCUCUAUUUUUCUAUAAAAAUGUUUGUGAUAUGUUGUGAUUUUUUUUUCCUCCUCAACUUUAACUUUCCUGGGAGAGUUGGAUGCUUGCAGCUGUGCAAAUUGGCAUGCUGCUGCUUCUUCAACAACAGAUGGUUCUUACUGAAAUGCUCAAUAAUACAGUUGUGUUCUGGCCAGAUGUUGGAGCAUCUUCAAACUCAUAAAAACAAUGUUUUUUUAAUUCCAUUCAAUUCUUUGUAAAUUAAUUUUACACUUUUAUUGAAGUAUUGCACAUUUCAACUUGAAAUGUUGCGCAUCUGAAUGAGCAACGUAUUUCUUUACUUGCUUCUUUCAUCUUCUAGCCUUAAAAAUGCAGUUUUUAAAAAUGAAGUUGUAGGAAUUGAGGUGGUUAUCUCCCCAGACUCUCUUUUAGUUAUGUUAUUUUUUUCCAAUGCAUCAAUGAGGUUAUAGUACUCUUUUCAUGUAUUGUCUAGCAGACCCAGUAUUGGA